AGAGUUUGAUCCUGGCUCAGAACGAACGCUGGCGGCAGGCCUCAAACAUGCAAGUCUAGGGGGUGUAGCAAUACAUCACCGGCGGACGGGUGCGUAACACGUGGGAAUAUACCUUUCGGUACGGAACAACUGCGGGAAACUGCAGCUAAUACCGUAUACGUCCUUGCGGAGAAAGAUUUAUCGCCGAAGGAUUAGCCCGCGUUCGAUUAGCUAGUUGGUGAGGUAAUGGCUCACCAAGGCAACGAUCGAUAGCUGUUCUGAGAGGAAGAUCAGCCACACUGGGACUGAGACACGGCCCAGACUCCUACGGGAGGCAGCAGUUGGGAAUCUUGGACAAUGGGGGAAACCCUGAUCCAGCCAUGCCGCGUGAGUGAUGAAGGCCUUCGGGUUGUAAAGCUCUUUUACCCGGGAAGAUAAUGACUGUACCGGGAGAAUAAGCUCCGGCUAACUUCGUGCCAGCAGCCGCGGUAAUACGAAGGGGGCUAGCGUUGUUCGGAAUUACUGGGCGUAAAGCGCGCGCAGGUGGUUUCUCAAGUCAGUGGUGAAAGCCCGGAGCUCAACUCCGGAACUGCCAUUGAAACUGUGAAACUUGAGGACGAGAGAGGUGAGUGGAAUUCCCAGUGUAGAGGUGAAAUUCGUAGAUAUUGGGAAGAACACCGGUGGCGAAGGCGGCUCACUGGCUCGUAUCUGACACUCAAGCGCGAUAGCGUGGGGAUCAAACAGGAUUAGAUACCCUAGUAGUCC
RNAcentral lists this ribosomal RNA (744 nucleotides) under uncultured bacterium. RNAcentral's name for it is "bacterial SSU rRNA". It matches the Rfam family "Bacterial small subunit ribosomal RNA", at positions 8 to 796 of the family's 1533-position model. The record is from RNAcentral.